GAAAAAAGCACAAAUAAAUGCGUGUAAAUGUGUAUUUAGUACGCAGCAAAGUUAAUUUCAGCUUCACUGUUUUACUGUGUACAUUCCUCUGUUUCUGCUCUUUGUUGCAUAUAUUUUUACUGAUUGCUAUAUUUUCUCUUUUCAACGUUAGAUCUAGUUUUGUAUGUUAUACUUAGUUUUCUUUUUACUUAAGUAUUAGGCUUGUUAACCCGGACCUGAGUCCAAAUUUCGUUCCUUAACAUGUAAAUGUGAGCUGGUCCACACCACUGUGAUGGGUCUGAGACCCACUACAGACAGAUGGUCCACAAACUGACUCAGUGGUGCUCCAGGAACCACCUUAUCUUGAACACCAGCAAGAUAGGAGAUCCAGGAAGACUGGGGGAGGCGGAGGAGCAUGUAAACAGCAUAAAGUUCCUGAACAUUCACAUUUCUCUGACCUCUCCUGGACUGUGAACACCUCCCAUCUGGUAAAGCAGGACCAACAGUGGCUCUUCUUUCUCAGGAAGCUGAUCCAACUGGACUCUCUACUCAGCUGCUCAAAAACUGAAAGCAUCCUGUGCCUUAGUGUGACAGUGUGGUACAGGAGCUCCACAGGAGACAAAGGACUUAGCACGGGUCGUAAGGACAGCACAGGGGAUUGUGGGAUGUUGUCUACUGGAUCUGGAAGAGGUUUAUGCGGCACGAGUCCAGAAAAGAGCCAGACACAUUGCUACAUACCACACCCACCCAGGCAACGCACUGUUUGUCCCACUUCCUUAAGGAAAACGAUUCAGGAACAUCACAUCAAAAACAACUGAACUCAGAGUUUCUUUCCUAAAAUAGUGAAGGCUGUCAUCCCCCUGCAGGCAGACACAAAAAAAUCCCUGCUGACAACCAGCCCAUCUCAGACUGUUUCAGCACAAGCUGCACUUCAUGUAAAUACCAGAUACUACAUGCCACAUUCCAUGUUCUCUUUUUCUAGAAGUGUUUUUACAUUUUCUAAAUGUCUAUAACCUACAUUUGUAUCUUUUGAGCCGAAUCUCAGCUAAAUUUCACUAUGGUGACAUAAUGACAAUAAAGAGUCUUGAAUCCUUGUAAUUAUAUAUAAAUAAUAAUUUAGCAUGAAAGAAAAUACAUUUUUAAUUUGCUCCACUAGAUGGCAGCAAUGCAACACUGACGUCGCCCUGUGAAGAGCAUCAGGGUUAGUCGAUGUGGAGCCGAUCUUCUUACCAGGAGGCCAAUUAUUAUGUAAAUGCUCUACAACAUAUUCCAGAAACGUGUUAAAAAAAAAAAAAAAAAACUUCUAAAAGCAGAAAUAAACAUCAGAGUUUUUUAUCCUGAAUCUGAAGCUAAACCCGAACAAUUUAGCUUUUGAUAAAUCUUUGUACAGGAUUGCUCGUUUCAACUGUCCUGAUAAUCCCUCUUUCAUCUCCUUAAAUAUCACCAUUCCCAUAGCAACUUCACUGGUUACCAUACCAACAUUUCCUUCAUCCUGCUCCUUUCUUCUGCCCAUAAAUCCUCAUUUAUUUGCACUAAUUGGAACAAAACGUUCCAGACAGCCAUCUGUUGUUGCUGUGAACGCUUCUGUUUGUGAAUGAAGUCCCCAACAUCUUCUCAGACGCUCAUCACAGAUUCAUUCACUGUAUGGACUUCUUCUUCUCCUCCUUCUACGGCUCUACCUGCCAAACAACCACAAACCCCUCAGAGGAUCACGCUCUGAUUGGUCGGAUCAUUAAUUGCCUAGCAACCAGGCAGGAGAGCAGGAUGAAGCCGGCGUUGCAGCUGUAAUGAAGAACCGUCCCUUCUACUGGGGGCCCGGGAGGCCUCGCCGUCACUCUGCCGUUCUCCAGGGACGUCCACACCCUCGGGCACAGCAGCACUGAGAAGAUGAAGGAAAAGACAUUUGUUGAAAGGCCUCUGUAGCGGAUCCCUCCAUCCCUCGGAGGCCGGAUAAUGGCACAGCCUGCACAUCAAGACAGGAAGAUGAAGGACAGCAAGAGGACACGAUAACAGCUCUGUCUUCAGGUAAAGUAGAUACAUCACAGUAGCAUGAGAUGUUAUCGUUUAAGCCAAAGCAUGCCUCGCUGCACAAAUUACAGCCUUUCAUUCAGGUCACUUAGGAAUCUCUGCGGAGCUCCCGCUGUCCGUCAUUACAAACGCACAGAAAG
Girardinichthys multiradiatus is the source of this 2147-nucleotide long non-coding RNA. RefSeq lists it as uncharacterized. Lineage: Eukaryota; Metazoa; Chordata; Actinopteri; Cyprinodontiformes; Goodeidae. The record is from RefSeq and is a predicted model, not a curated record. The transcript is spliced from 3 exons.